RNAcentral lists this ribosomal RNA (340 nucleotides) under uncultured bacterium. RNAcentral's name for it is "bacterial SSU rRNA". It matches the Rfam family "Bacterial small subunit ribosomal RNA", at positions 9 to 352 of the family's 1533-position model. The record is from RNAcentral.
GAGUUUGAUCCUGGCUCAGAGCGAACGUUUGCGGCGGGCCUAACACAUGCAAGUCGAACGGGCACCUUCGGGUGUCAGUGGCGCACGGGUGCGUAACACGUGGAUAACCAACCCUUUGGUUCGGGACAACAGCGGGAAACUGCUGCUAAUACCGGGUAAGUCUGCGGAGUCACAAGGCUCUGCAGAGAGAGGCUCGCAAGGGCCGCCAGAGGACGGGUCCGCGUCCCAUCAGCUAGUUGGUGAGGUAAUGGCUCACCAAGGCUAAGACGGGUAGCUGGUCUGAGAGGAUGAUCAGCCACACUGGAACUGAGACACGGUCCAGACUCCUACGGGAGGCAGC